GAUGAACGCUGGCGGCGUGCCUAAUACAUGCAAGUCGAGCGAACAGACGAGGAGCUUGCUCCUCUGACGUUAGCGGCGGACGGGUGAGUAACACGUGGAUAACCUACCUAUAAGACUGGGAUAACUUCGGGAAACCGGAGCUAAUACCGGAUAAUAUAUUGAACCGCAUGGUUCAAUAGUGAAAGACGGUUUUGCUGUCACUUAUAGAUGGAUCCGCGCCGCAUUAGCUAGUUGGUAAGGUAACGGCUUACCAAGGCAACGAUGCGUAGCCGACCUGAGAGGGUGAUCGGCCACACGGGAGCUGAGACGCGGUCCAGACUCCUACGGGAGGCAGCAGUAGGGAAUCUUCCGCAAUGGGCGAAAGCCUGACGGAGCAACGCCGCGUGAGUGAUGAAGGUCUUCGGAUCGUAAAACUCUGUUAUUAGGGAAGAACAAAUGUGUAAGUAACUGUGCACGUCUUGACGGUACCUAAUCAGAAAGCCACGGCUAACUACGUG
This 497-nucleotide ribosomal RNA is filed under the name uncultured bacterium. Its description in RNAcentral is "partial 16S ribosomal RNA". It matches the Rfam family "Bacterial small subunit ribosomal RNA", at positions 28 to 507 of the family's 1533-position model. The record is from RNAcentral.